ACCAACAACACUGUUCAGCAGCCAUCUUGCGAAGUGUGACGCCUUGGCAUUGUUGUCGCGUCUCCUUCACAAUUUUAAACUAAAAUUAAGUACAAAUAGUCACAGUUUAUCAAGUUUCGGGCAAAUUCCAAGAAAAAUGUCGCGUUACCGUGAAUGGGAUUUAUCUUGCAAAGUUUACGUUGGAAAUUUGGGCUCAUCGGCCAGCAAGCACGAAAUCGAGAGUGCUUUCAGUAAGUAUGGACCUUUAAGGAACGUGUGGGUGGCCAGGAAUCCUCCAGGUUUCGCUUUCGUGGAAUUUGAGGACCCGAGGGACGCGGAGGACGCCGUGAGGGGUCUGGACGGAACGCGGUGCUGUGGGACGCGCGUCCGGGUGGAAAUGUCCAACGGGAGGUCCAGGAGAGGAGGCGGAAGGAGGGGACCCAUGAGAUACUCCAGGGCAGCGCCACUGCUGUUGUUUUCUCCCCCCGACUGAGACCCACCCCCUCCCCGGCCACACAUCUCAUCUUACAUCGACACACCCAACUACUACAGCUACAUCCACCAUCUGUGGUGACCGCCCUCCUCAAUCAACUAUAAUAACGAGACCGCGCGACUACUACUACUCACCAGCUGCAUUUUACAACCUCUAUUAAAAAUCAACGUGUGGUUGAAAAAAUUCCAGCUCAAAGUUUCAAAACAACAUGCAACAUAGCAAGGCAUAGCAAAACCAACUAUAAUUUCUCCUCUUCCAAAAACGUCUCUUCAUUAUAUUGGUGGGAUUAUUGAAACAUUUUUUCGUUCGAAUAUAUACGGCGUGUCGCAAAAUGAUUGGCUACCCGAAGAUGGUCCAGAUCACCAAGACGCUCACGUACACCAAGGUCGAGGUCACGCAGCAGGGACAGACGCAGCCGAUCAGACUCCAGGGAUCGCCGUUAAGUGACUUUUUUCAUUGUAUUCUGAUUAUAACAAUGUGUAAUUUA
This is an RNA transcript of Zophobas morio, 959 nucleotides long. It is a transcript of the gene named RNA-binding protein 1-like, with no coding region annotated. The transcript is spliced from 5 exons. The record is from RefSeq and is a predicted model, not a curated record. Lineage: Eukaryota; Metazoa; Arthropoda; Insecta; Coleoptera; Tenebrionidae.